Molecule: small RNA, 29 nt
Filed under: Bombyx mori (domestic silkworm)
Lineage: Eukaryota; Metazoa; Arthropoda; Insecta; Lepidoptera; Bombycidae
Description: ovarian small RNA-17369
Source: RNAcentral
GGCAAUUAGGGACAUGAAGCCUGAUAGGC